RNAcentral lists this ribosomal RNA (492 nucleotides) under uncultured bacterium. RNAcentral's name for it is "partial 16S ribosomal RNA". It matches the Rfam family "Bacterial small subunit ribosomal RNA", at positions 29 to 507 of the family's 1533-position model. The record is from RNAcentral.
AGUGAACGCUGGCGGUAGGCCUAACACAUGCAAGUCGAACGGCAGCACAGUAAGAGCUUGCUCUUACGGGUGGCGAGUGGCGGACGGGUGAGGAAUACAUCGGAAUCUACUUUUUCGUGGGGGAUAACGUAGGGAAACUUACGCUAAUACCGCAUAUGACCUACGGGUGAAAGCAGGGGAUCUUCGGACCUUGCGCGAUUGAAUGAGCCGAUGUCGGAUUAGCUAGUUGGCGAGGUAAAGGCCCACCAAGGCGACGAUCCGUAGCUGGUCUGAGAGGAUGAUCAGCCACACUGGAACUGAGACACGGUCCAGACUCCUACGGGAGGCAGCAGUGGGGAAUAUUGGGCAAUGGGCGCAAGCCUGAUCCAGCCAUGCCGCGUGAGUGAAGAAGGCCUUCGGGUUGUAAAGCCCUUUUGUUAGGAAAGAAAAGCAGCAGGUUAAUACCCCGCUGUUCUGACGGUACCCAAAGAAUAAGCACCGGCUAACUUCGUG